ACGCUCGACACCUACGGGAGGCAGCAGUUGGGAAUAUUGGACAAUGGAGGAAACUCUGAUCCAGUGACGCCGCGUGAAGGAAGAAGGUCUUCGGAUUGUAAACUUAUUUUGUCAGGGAAGAAAAAUGACUGUACCUGAAGAAAAAGCACCGGCUAACUACGUGCCAUCAGCCGCGGUAAUCUGAGCGGGCUGGCAAGGC
This 199-nucleotide ribosomal RNA is filed under the name uncultured bacterium. Its description in RNAcentral is "partial 16S ribosomal RNA". It matches the Rfam family "Bacterial small subunit ribosomal RNA", at positions 328 to 539 of the family's 1533-position model. The record is from RNAcentral.